RNAcentral lists this ribosomal RNA (254 nucleotides) under uncultured bacterium. Its description in RNAcentral is "partial 16S ribosomal RNA". It matches the Rfam family "Bacterial small subunit ribosomal RNA", at positions 524 to 776 of the family's 1533-position model. The record is from RNAcentral.
UACGUAUGGAGCAAGCGUUAUCCGGAUUUACUGGGUGUAAAGGGUGCGCAGGUGGUUUGGCAAGUCAGAAGUGAAAACCCGGGGCUCAACUCCGUGGAUUGCUUUUGAAACUGUCGGACUAGAGUCCAGGAGAGGUAAGCGGAAUUCCUAGUGUAGCGGUGAAAUGCGUAGAUAUUAGGAGGAACACCAGUGGCGAAGGCGGCUUACUGGACUGGUACUGACACUGAGGCACGAAAGCGUGGGGAGCAAACAGG